Molecule: long non-coding RNA, 519 nt
Organism: Chinchilla lanigera (long-tailed chinchilla)
Lineage: Eukaryota; Metazoa; Chordata; Mammalia; Rodentia; Chinchillidae
Exons: 4
Source: RefSeq, a predicted model, not a curated record
CGCAACUUCCUUUGAACACCAUGAAGCAUUCUCACAAAGAUUUCUUUUAUUAUUACUACCUCCAGUAGAUCCAAGCAGAAAAGGGAACACCCUGAAUGGCCUUUAUUUCGGGGAUCUCCUCUUCCUCCAGGGUCUCUCAGGGGAGUGCGGAAGACUCGCAGCAUGAUAUCUCAGGAUAACCAAACUUAAUGCAGGGUCCAAGGAAGAAAGAAAGCUUCCAGCAGGACUUUUUUGGAGCCAGACAUCUUGGCCUCUUGGGCCUAAAAAGAAGACCAUCUUUUAUUAUGCAUGUCAUCUCGUGAGUCUCGUGGCCAAAGGAAGAGCAGGACUGGGCUGUGAGAACAUCCCCUGUGAGGUGAGGAAGCCAUGGAACUCAGAGGGAUGUGCGGAUCUCCUCCAGAGACUGUUCCAACCAGGUUCUGCUACAUACAAAAAUCCAAAAAGAUAAUCAACAGAGUAGAAAGAAAACAUGUUCCAAUUCUUUAAGUAAGAAUAAGAUAAUUUCUAGAAAACUGAAAA